GGGGAUCCUUCCUUCGGUGGUAGUAGGCUGGGCAGAACUGGCAGUGGCUCCAAAAAUUUCCAUUACUGAAUUGGCCAAAAUUUAAUUUCUCCUCUUUUAGGGAAAAAAAAUGUGAUCUUUGGCACCUCCUUGAUCAAUAUUAGGAGUGGGUAUCUUUGUCUUUGAAUUUGAAGGGUAAGAGGCAAAUUAAAAAGGUGAUAACCCAGCUGAUCAAUGGAUAAUUUUUGCAUAUGUUGGAGGAAUCCUGGGCUUUCUGUCCGGAUUUUUAGGUGUUUUUUUUUACUUUAGCUGGGGGAGUAAGGUUGCUUGAAUUUCAUGGAAUUUGAAUUUUAUAUUAAUUGACAUCUUGGGUGGGUCGAUCUGGUCAGGAAUACUUGCAAGAUAACCUUGAAGUAAAGAGGCAGAGGCUAUGGAUGCAGUAGAUUGUGCCGAGAGGACGACGGGUGAUCUGUUGAUUGGCCCUGGUUGGGGUAUUAACAUUGAACUAUACGAUACCCAGGGAAGGCAAAGGAGGUGAUGAAGAUCCCUACGAAGAAGCGCCCGGGCAAUAAAGAUCAAAAAAUACAGCUUCUGACCCUCUGUCCAGAUUUUAAUAUGAUGGAGAAGUUACUGACCUUGAUAGAUACAUGGCGAGAAGCUGUAGGGGGACCAAGGGGAAGGUAUCCUCAAUACUAUUCUGCAUAUGAUGAGUUGAAG
Syzygium oleosum is the source of this 696-nucleotide long non-coding RNA. RefSeq lists it as uncharacterized. The record is from RefSeq and is a predicted model, not a curated record. Lineage: Eukaryota; Viridiplantae; Streptophyta; Magnoliopsida; Myrtales; Myrtaceae. The transcript is spliced from 3 exons.